This is a long non-coding RNA of Triticum dicoccoides, 1506 nucleotides long. RefSeq lists it as uncharacterized. The record is from RefSeq and is a predicted model, not a curated record. The transcript has 2 exons. NCBI's taxonomy places the organism in Eukaryota, Viridiplantae, Streptophyta, Magnoliopsida, Poales, Poaceae.
GAAAAGAAGAAGCUGUAGUUUCUUCUUCUUGAUUUUGCAGCACAAAGCAAGUUUUGCAUCGUAUGUGUAUUGUUUACUUGACUUUGGCUAGCUAGCAUAUAAGUUGUUCCCGGAAACGAGUUUGUCACGUAGCAUGCAGUUUAGUUGCAGUUCUUUUUUUGUGUGGAGAUGUGUAGAGAUGUCAGUCUGAUUUUUUGGAUUAAAAAGCUAGAUAUUUCUGUGGUACAUUUAUCAUGGAGUGAGCCAUUUGAGUAAUGAAUUUUGGGGAAUCGGUGAUUUUUUGAUUCAAAUUCUGGCUGCAGUGAAAAAACUAAAAAUUUGGAUUUUGCUCUGUGUCACGUGAUUAUAGGUACAUGAUUAUAGGUACGGUGCUAAAUUGGAUUUGUCAGUGUAUGUACGUUCUAGGACAUGACCAAAAUGGGGUCGAGUUUGAUCUCUGAUUUAGUUUCUAGGAUUCUUAGAACAUGGCCAAAGUUUUAUUCAGUACAUGAUCAAAUUGGAUUCGUCUGAUUAAAAGGGAUUCACAUGAGUUUUAAGUAGGUGUGAUUAAGUAGUAGCGGUUUUUGUUUUUGAUGAGCUUCGAUUCACUGGAAAGUGGGUGGGUGCUUUUUGAUUCGUAGGUGGGUCGUUUCAGAGUACAAAUGAGUUUGAAUGUACACAUGAUUUUAUUCAGUAUUAGUAUAUUUGUAGUAAAAAUCUGAACAAACUGGAUUCAGUAUCAUGAUUCUGCUGUGUUUGUCUUUGUUUGAUUACUUACUGGAUGGUUCGCUCGAGAAUUUCUUAGAGGCAAACAGAUUGAGCUUAGGCUGUUGUUUUCGUCAGUUGGCAUGUUUUUUAGCUGGGUCUGCUAUCAGCCCGAACUAUAAGCAGAAUGUUUGCACCAUGUAAAAAUUGCUUGUCAUGCCCUAUGUUCAAUUCGCAGAUCGUCCUGACAACUUUUUGUUUAUAAUCUGUUCUGCCAAGCCACCGUUUCAGGGAUAGGAUGGGGAAAGCUCCUGACGAGAGGGAGAUGAAGCCUGACAAGAAAACAGCACUGGAAUUGUCUGUGCGCGCUUAUGCUGAGAAAGGAGCUGGUCAUGUUGUCAAUCCAGCAAUUGGCACAUCUUUUGACUCGUUAGAUGAGGCUUAUGAGUUCUACAACCUUUAUUCCUGGGAAUGUGGUUUUGGAGUUCGGCUAUGUUGCUCGGAAAAGGUGCAUGCAAGAGAUUGUUUGUGAUUGUGCGGUAGGUGAUCGCAAAGUGCAUUAUGUUUGAUGCCAUAAUGUUUGAUGGACUGUUUGAGCCUAACUUCCUCUAGAUUAAAUUAGUUGUGACUUGUGAGGUUUGAUGCCAUCAUGUUUCCAUGUGUUUGUAUGCUGGUUUAGUUUCUCGAUUUGGGUUGUCAGUUUUUUUUUAUUUUUUUUGCGGGGGUCGGAAUUUUCAUUUGUGCUACCAACAGUAAUUCUCUUGAUGUGUGUUAAAUUUGUCUGAACUGUUUGUUGUGUGUUGAUGGCAGUGUUGUUGUUUA